RNAcentral lists this transfer RNA (65 nucleotides) under Eolachesilla chilensis. Its description in RNAcentral is "tRNA-Val". Lineage: Eukaryota; Metazoa; Arthropoda; Insecta; Psocodea; Lachesillidae. The record is from RNAcentral.
CAAGAAAUAGCUUAAUGAGAAAGCAAUUUAUUUACAUUAAAAAGAUAUUACAUAAAUUUUCUUGA